This is a long non-coding RNA of Carassius auratus (goldfish), 326 nucleotides long. RefSeq lists it as uncharacterized. NCBI's taxonomy places the organism in Eukaryota, Metazoa, Chordata, Actinopteri, Cypriniformes, Cyprinidae. The transcript has 4 exons. The record is from RefSeq and is a predicted model, not a curated record.
CACAUCUCAACAUCACUCAACUCUGUCAACCAUGUUCAGAUCAGGGCUUACCUUUACUGUACAUCGUGCUGAUUUCUGCUGCUGCUGGAUCUCUGUUGAUCGUAGCUGCAGUCUUGUGGUGCUGUUUCUGCUGGAGACAUAAAACAAUAGUUCAGAAAAUAGUGAUCCGCUAGAUAUACGAAAAUGAUUCAACACUGCAUACACCAAGAACACAAAAAACGAAAUCAAAGGAGCCUGUGUAUUUAAAUAUCGGCAGAAAUAAUCAACAAUGAUCAAAUAUAUUUUAGAGCUCAAUACGGAGCCCUGUUUCAUACUUUUUAGUUCAA